GGAAAGAUGAAAAGAACUUUGAAAAGAGAGUUAAACAGUACGUGAAAUUGUUGAAAGGGAAACGAUUGAAGGCAGUCAUACCAACGGGAAAUCAACCUUUUGAAUUUGGUCUUGUGGGUUUCGGAGAGUUUAAAAGCCUUCGGAUUCGUUCGGAUUGGGCUCUUUUGGUGUACUUUCUCGUACGGUUAGUCAACAUCGGUUUUGAAUGUCAUAAAAUGACCGGAGGAAUGUGGCUUCGAUCUCGUAUCGAAGUGUUAUAGCCUUUGGUAGAUGUGAUGUUCGAGUCCGAGGAUUGCAACGGAUACCCUUCUGGGCUAUUCGUCUGAUCUCUGAUACGUUGCCUUGAUGUCGAAAGCUUGCUUAUGAUGUUAGGGUAUUACGGUCAAAAGGUUAGAACGGAUUAAAUUCGUUAAGGAUGUUGACGUAAUGACUUUAAACGACCCGUCUUGAAACACGGACCA
RNAcentral lists this ribosomal RNA (461 nucleotides) under Septoglomus constrictum. RNAcentral describes it as "LSU rRNA". It matches the Rfam family "Eukaryotic large subunit ribosomal RNA", at positions 358 to 668 of the family's 3401-position model. Lineage: Eukaryota; Fungi; Glomeromycota; Glomeromycetes; Glomerales; Glomeraceae. The record is from RNAcentral.